CCCUUAGAUGUUCUGGGCCGCACGCGCGCUACACUGAUGCAUUCAACGAGUUUUUCCUUGGCCGAGAGGCCUGGGCAAUCUUUUAAACGUGCAUCGUGAUAGGGAUAGAUUAUUGCAAUUAUUAAUCUUGAACGAGGAAUUCCUAGUAAACGCAGAUCAUCAAUCUGCAUUGAUUACGUCCCUGCCCUUUGUACACACCGCCCGUCGCACCUACCGAUUGAAUGGUCCGGUGAAGCCUCGGGAUUGUAGCUGUUUCCUUUAUUGGGUACAGCCGUGAGAACUUGUCUGAACCUUAACACUUAGAGGAAGGUGAAGUCGUAACA
This 323-nucleotide ribosomal RNA is filed under the name uncultured eukaryote. RNAcentral describes it as "partial 18S ribosomal RNA". It matches the Rfam family "Eukaryotic small subunit ribosomal RNA", at positions 1470 to 1796 of the family's 1831-position model. The record is from RNAcentral.